CUUCUCUUUCACGGGGCACAAUAAGAAGAAACAACACACUCAGUUGGAGUUUGUGGAGAGGAUGGUGCCAAAAAACAAGAAAAGAUGAAAGAAAGCAUCUGAACUGGAACAGUAAAAAAACCUUGAGAUGCGACCCGUCAAAUAGACAGUUGUUGACGCGUCUCCUCCUCCCUUCUACUCUGAGCGAGAGCAAGGACUGUUUGACUUCUCCACGUUGGGUGUUCAGGAGCCGUCCCAGAUACUGAUAUCAAACCUGAUACCGAGGGAGUUCCGUUUCACAUCGGUGUCUCCUGAGUGAUCGAACGGGGAAUCUACGACAUAUCCAACGCUGUCAUCCGGAGAAGCCGCCACGCCUGUUUGACAUCCACGCUUCAUACAUCCUGUUUUGAUUCACUUCAGUUACAUCUCCAAAGUAUGCGGGACUUUUGGG
Molecule: long non-coding RNA, 430 nt
Organism: Gasterosteus aculeatus aculeatus (three-spined stickleback)
Lineage: Eukaryota; Metazoa; Chordata; Actinopteri; Perciformes; Gasterosteidae
Source: Ensembl